This 70-nucleotide transfer RNA is filed under the name Caudoviricetes sp. RNAcentral's name for it is "tRNA-Asp". It matches the Rfam family "tRNA". From Rfam's summary of the family: Transfer RNA (tRNA) molecules are approximately 80 nucleotides in length. Their secondary structure includes four short double-helical elements and three loops (D, anti-codon, and T loops). Further hydrogen bonds mediate the characteristic L-shaped molecular structure. tRNAs have two regions of fundamental functional importance: the anti-codon, which is responsible for specific mRNA codon recognition, and the 3' end, to which the tRNAs corresponding amino acid is attached (by aminoacyl-tRNA synthetases). tRNAs cope with the degeneracy of the genetic code in two manners: having more than one tRNA (with a specific anti-codon) for a particular amino acid; and 'wobble' base-pairing, i.e. permitting non-standard base-pairing at the 3rd anti-codon position. Lineage: Duplodnaviria; Heunggongvirae; Uroviricota; Caudoviricetes. The record is from RNAcentral.
GAGGGCGUAGUGUAAUGGUUAGCACGCCUCCCUGUCACGGAGGUAGAGGGGUUCGAAUCCCACGUUCUCG